This 471-nucleotide ribosomal RNA is filed under the name Salmonella enterica. RNAcentral describes it as "bacterial SSU rRNA". It matches the Rfam family "Bacterial small subunit ribosomal RNA", at positions 1 to 468 of the family's 1533-position model. The record is from RNAcentral. Lineage: Bacteria; Pseudomonadati; Pseudomonadota; Gammaproteobacteria; Enterobacterales; Enterobacteriaceae. RNAcentral also lists the same sequence under 1 other name.
AAAUUGAAGAGUUUGAUCAUGGCUCAGAUUGAACGCUGGCGGCAGGCCUAACACAUGCAAGUCGAACGGUAACAGGAAGCAGCUUGCUGCUUCACUGACGAGUGGCGGACGGGUGAGUAAUGUCUGGGAAACUGCCUGAUGGAGGGGGAUAACUACUGGAAACGGUGGCUAAUACCGCAUAACGUCGCAAGACCAAAGAGGGGGACCUUCGGGCCUCUUGCCAUCAGAUGUGCCCAGAUGGGAUUAGCUUGUUGGUGAGGUAACGGCUCACCAAGGCGACGAUCCCUAGCUGGUCUGAGAGGAUGACCAGCCACACUGGAACUGAGACACGGUCCAGACUCCUACGGGAGGCAGCAGUGGGGAAUAUUGCACAAUGGGCGCAAGCCUGAUGCAGCCAUGCCGCGUGUAUGAAGAAGGCCUUCGGGUUGUAAAGUACUUUCAGCGGGGAGGAAGGUGUUGUGGUUAAUAACC